GACAGAGGAUGCAAACGUUGUUCGGAAUUACUGGGCGUAAAGCGUGUGUAGGCGGCUUUGCAAGUCGAGUGUGAAAGCCCCGGGCUUAACUUGGGAAUUGCGCUCGAAACUACUUUGCUGGAGUGUGGCAGAGGAAGGUGGAAUUCCACGUGUAGCGGUGAAAUGCGUAGAGAUGUGGAGGAACACCAAUGGCGAAGGCAGCCUUCUGGGCCAACACUGACGCUCAUGCACGAAAGCGUGGGGAGCAAACAGG
RNAcentral lists this ribosomal RNA (253 nucleotides) under uncultured bacterium. Its description in RNAcentral is "partial 16S ribosomal RNA". It matches the Rfam family "Bacterial small subunit ribosomal RNA", at positions 524 to 776 of the family's 1533-position model. The record is from RNAcentral.